RNAcentral lists this unclassified non-coding RNA (553 nucleotides) under Hevea brasiliensis (rubber tree). Lineage: Eukaryota; Viridiplantae; Streptophyta; Magnoliopsida; Malpighiales; Euphorbiaceae. The record is from RNAcentral.
AAGUUUCAUACAUACCCAUUAUUAUCCAACUAAUUAACAAAAAUAACUAAAUUGAAGGAUUCAAGAUAUUUAAGAAAAACAGAUAGGGAACAUGAUAGUCCCAAACAUGCCUAACAGUGACAGGCUGUUCUUCCAUUGUAAUUUGUUUGUUCAUCCAGUGGCUCACUGCGUCCUACCCAUCACAAGAAUGGAAACUACCUAUGGUUUGAUUCAGCAAAUUAUAGAAUGGAAACCAUGAAAACCUAAAGAAUUAAUUCAAUGACACAAUGCUUGAUCGCUGACUGUAUGGAAGGGUAUCCGACGGUUGAGAUUUCUUGUUUUUGAGUCGAUGGCGUAGAUGGUCGGACUAAAUUAACAAGGCCCACUUUCUUAAUAAAUUUCGCACUUUAGUUCUUGCCUCUUGGUCAAUGUCGGUCCCACUUCCAUCUUUCGUUAUUCACUUUGUAAACGGCGCCGUGUAGUAUCUUGAUCGCAAGAAACGAGGUGUCGCUUAAUGAGAAAAACGCCAAUCUGAGCGCAAGUAUUUUUGAGCCUCUCAAAGGAAGCAAGAGCA